Molecule: long non-coding RNA, 15768 nt
Filed under: Carica papaya (papaya)
Lineage: Eukaryota; Viridiplantae; Streptophyta; Magnoliopsida; Brassicales; Caricaceae
Description: long non-coding RNA (CPAP_LNC009726)
Source: RNAcentral
AGAUUGAAGAGCAUCGACGGCGACCACAUCCUUCAAGUCCACGUCGAAGGUAUAACGGGUCGGCAUCAAGUGCUGAUAGUUAACGAGCUUGAUGAAGGCCUUUCACUCUGGAUUUUUUGGCAGUCUUUUUGGUCGAGUCCUUUCGUGAUGACCUUGCUCGGGUACUUCUUGAUCCCUGCAACUAAGCAAUGGCCAUAGGGACGGUCUCUGUUUCCCUCAUCGAAUGACUUGACAAUAACCGCCUUUCGGCCGGCAUAGCGGCCCUGGAGGACGAUGACGGCCUUAUUUGGCUUCAGGAACUUCACCAUUUUCUCCCUCUCUCCUCUCUCCCGACUUCGCCUCUCCGUAAACCCUAAAUGCGUUUUGGGAUAAACAGAAAUAUAUUUAUAGCACUGGCACACACAGUGAAACCCUAGAAAUCUCUAGUUUGGGCUGGAGAAAUAUGGGCUGCGACUUGCGGGCUUUUCUAGGUCCGUUUCCUCCUAUAAUAUUUUCACAUAAUGCAAACACGCAAGGGAUUAAACUUGAAGUGUUUUAACAAUGAACAUCACUUUUUUUUUUCUAUUUUAAUUGACUUAUGUGUUUUAAAAUAUUUUCUAUAAAAUAAAUUUAUUGAGAAUAUUUUUUAUCUAAAAAUUCAAUUUUUUCGUUGAAUCUUAUAAUUUUGUUGUGAGAUUUAUUAUUAUUAUUAUUUUAUUAACGUCUAAUAAAAAUUUCUCAAACACGCAUUGUAAUAUUAAAACGACUCGCAUCGUAGCAUUAAAAGGACUAAAGGUAUGAGAGUACAAAUAAAUUAUUUAAAUAUAUAAAAAUUAUUUAUAAUUUAAUUGUAAAAUAAUGAAAAUUUAAUUAUAAGUAAACUUUAAAAGACUUGACAUGAUACUUUUUAAAUAAAUUCUAGAAAAAAUAAUUCAUUUAUUUCCAACCCCUUUCUUCAAUUCUUGUUUUUUUUUUUUUUUUUUUGUGCAAAAUAGUUUUAGAUGAGAAACUAAGAGAUGAUGGAAUGAAGAUAGUCUUGAUUAAACAUGAUCAGCAGUGUCAUUAAGAAGACAUAAUACAGAAAUUGUCAUUUCUAAAAGAAUUUAAAUUACAUUCUCCAAUUUUACAUUAUAUUCUAGAUGAGAUACACACAAAUUUCACGAGAUUUUUAAAUUUGUUCUAAACAUAAUACAAAGUAUAAUUAAAUUAAUUGACCCUUUUAUAAAUUAAACAAAUGCAAGUAACACAGAAGUUACACCAAAAGUUAUUUCAGGACCUUAAAUUGCCAAUGAGUAUAAAGCAUACACAGCAAAUAGUAUAAAGAUAUCACCUUUCUUUACUCCUGCCUCUCAUGGCCAGGCUCUCUCUUCCCAUUCCUCUGCCAGAUUAGCCAAAAACCAAUUAUCUCAACCUGGUUCUGGUGGCACAUAACCAUUGCCUGGAUGUCUGAAGAUCAUCACCUGGUGGUGGUUGGCACAUGCCAACUACCAUUUUCUGAUUCCUGCAGUACCUCACAGCAUUAUUAAAGUAACUAUGAAAGGAGUUCCAUAUGAAAAAAGGAAUAAUGUAUACCAGUAGUAAUUAACUAGAGCAAUCCUCACCUGAAUAACAAUUGAAUAAGGGGGAGGCAUGUGGAGUUUAAGUCCAUUCCUUGAGACCGACAGUCGAAUCUGCAAAUUAGAGAGCCAAGCAUAGUUUAGAAUUCCUUUUUCUUCAAAUUGCAUACAUGCUUUAGUAACAUAACGUCCAUAAUCAUGGAUUCCCAUGUUUGUAAAGAUGUUAUUCUUCUUGAAGGUUCAACUACUGACAGCUCCUAUUAAGAUGGGGCAACAGGGAAUCAUUUUCACAUGGAUAAAAUAUAUGCUCCUACAGCAGCAAAUUUUCUCGGGCAUCCGGACCUCCUUAAAUUGUUAUCAUUAUGGUUCGUCAUGGAUUGUAACGGUUCAAUGUUUUCUAGACCAGUAAUUCAGGCCAAGUUCAUCUUGGGUUGAAAAGAGGAGAAGGAAGAGGAAAAGUACCUGAUGUUUUUCCUUCCAUCUUGGGAAAAAACUAGUCCCUAGCAACUGGAACAAGUGGUCCCUCAUUUCAUCAUUUGUAACCAAUAAACACUUGCAACUAACAGAGGCGUAUAGCCAAUACCUGUAAAGGAAAGUUCCAAGCAAACUUUGCAAAUGAUGGAUUGAGAAGAUCAUAAUCGUACAGUUGCAGUAGAAACUCUAAAUGAAGAUUAACUCUAAAUUGACUGUUAACAAAUUUCAGUCAAUUGCUACAACUGCUAAAACAGCCGCAAUGAAUACAAAAAGACUAACAACAAAUAUAUAGUACAAUCUUAACCUGUAACCCAGUCAUGGAUUAUCACAUAUAUCUACAUUCAGAUUUUCAUGGUUGAUUAAUCUCACUGAGAACUCCAAAAGUGUGGCUAUCUGAUGAUGUCUGUCAAUGUCAUGGUCAAAAGAUCAUAUACAUGAUAGAAAAUGUGAUCCCAGGUUAUUAUACCAUUUGGGCAACAAAUAAGGUUCCAUAAUCGGCCAGUCUAACAUUAGGAUUUGGAGCAAAGGACUUUCGAUAUGAUUAGAGUUCCACAUUUCUGAGGGGGCUGAACAUCCUUCUCAACCCCCAAAUGAAAUAAUUUCACAGAGAUAAGAUCAGUAUGCAUAGCUUAACAUGGAAAGCAAGAGGAAAUCAUAGACGUGCUGAAAAGAUCAGACUAACAAUAUUCCUAGGAACAUAUAUUUGUGAGGAAGCAAAUAUCCACUGUAGGCUUAGCACCCUCUGGUUCAUUUCAAAGCACACGCCAAGACAGAGUAUCAGAAGUCGAGAGCACAUUAAAGAAAGAAAAAGAUAGCAAUAUGAAUAUGGCUUAGUUCAUAAAUUUAACCCAAUUCAUCAAUAGUUCAUGAUAUAGAGACCAACCAAUCAUCAUUUGAACCAGGAGGAGUAGCAUAUAGUGCACCAGACUUUUUCCAGCUUUCUAACAAGUACUUGUUUUUAGGCUUCUGAGCAGGACCUCCAGUUGCACGACUUUUAUGCAAAAUAACAAGUGGCAAUCUCUUUGAUGGGCUCAUUUCACGUAAUUGAUUGACCACGUUAUUAAGCUACAAUCAAAUGAUAUCCAAUUAGUGUCACAAGGAACAGAAUGUGGAGUCUCCUAAAGUGUACUCGCGGAGUCUUGCUUACCUGGUUAAAGCUGAGAGUAUGUUGAUUAAUAAGGCCAACAUUAGCACCAUCUAUAACAGCAUCAAAUGGACCAUGUGUUUCCAGCCACUCCUGCACGAGUUCACCUUCAAAUCAGCAAGUCAUCACUGACAAUAAUUUUAACAUAGCAAUAGCAAUUGAAAGUAGCAAAAACUGGAUUACUUUUUUAUAAUAUAAGUAACUAAUGAUUUCUUUAUAAAAAAAAGUAAUAAGUAAUGAUGACAAAGGAUGGAAUGUGAAUAUGAACAGAAUCAUUGUAAGUCUAGUAUCAUUCAAAGAAGUAACAGUGUAAAAAUACCCUGCAUCCAUGGGUAUCAACAAAAACACCACCAGAUCUUCUUGUCUACAGAUCCACAUCAAGCAUAUCUCAAUAAGGACUUACAAAGUUAAUUAGGAAGUAAAACCUCUUUGAUAGAAAAUGAAAUAAUCAACAUGUUAUUCCAUUUGUAACCAGCUAGGGAAGAAUGUUUUGAUAAAUCAUAAUUAUUGUAGGAGUCAAAAAUCAAUGUUGAGUUAACUUCUAGCAUCAUUAUGUUUCCAACUACAGAAAACAAAUGUCAUUUAUGAAAUCCAUAACUCAAGGCAUUCCUCCACCAGGCAAUAUUUCUUACCUGGACUUUGGGAUAGUUUUAGAUGCUUUUCCAUACUAUUUUAAUGAAAAAAAAGGGACUUACUGAUAUUUUUCCUGUAUAGGAAACUAUUUGUUAACACCAUAAAAUACAUAAUUGCAUGUCAUUGAAAAAAUAAAAGAGUGAAAGAAACGUGCAUUUAUAAAUUCAAGUGCAACACAGAAAAGAAAAAGAAACUGCAUUUAUUGGUUCAGAAACGGAAAACAAAUGGAAAAUGAUCUUGUACCUGGAAGCAAGUAAAGUCAGCCCUGACCUCUCUUUGGCAAGCCAAAUUUGUUAAUGAGGUAGCAAAAUUUUCGGUCUCUGUUGGGUUGAUAUCAAUACAACCAAGCUUUUCACCACAAGAACGGCAUACACCCUUCUCAUUCAUCUGAGUUCUGACAACGUUCCAUUUGCCAGUCCCUAGCCACCCCUGCCCGUGCCACCCUCCUCCUCCCUUUACAAUUCCCUCCUUUACCAAGUUUUCAUCCCAAUUAUCCACACCAACUGUUGCAGCAUCAUCAGAUUUAAACCAAUCUUCAACAAUCUCAGCAGUUGAUUCAGAGACCUGCCUUACAGUGGCUCGCAGCCGUUGCAACAUCUCAUACACUUUGUCUGCCUUCUUUCCGUCAGCACUAACUUUCAGAAGAGCAGAAAGUUCUGGUUCUUCUGCCAUUACUCCAGCUUCAACCAUGUGAGCAUCAACUUCAUAAGCAUUAUCAACCUUCCCCUUCUUACAGAAACCAAAGAGGGCUGGUCCAUAUGACCUCAGUUUUGGUGGGAUACCGAAACUUGUCAUCUGCUUCACUAAAUCAAAUGCUUUAUCUGGAUCGUCCAUUGCAACAGCCAGCCUCGCUAUACUCGUAAAUGUAGCCUCAUUAGGAGCAACUUUAUCCGCAACCAUCUGUCCGAAAAUGUCAAAGCCCCUCUUAAGCCCCAAAACCGAGUCCUUUUCACCAUCCCAAUCUCCACUUACUUCAACGGAAGAACCACCCGAAGAGCACAAGUAGAGUAUUACAUUGUAAUGGUACUGGCUAAGUUGUACUCCCUCCCUCCGUGCCUCAUCGUAUAGGUGAAGGGCCUCAACGAGGUCUCCGUGCUUCGAGCACAUAUCCAGUUUGUACCUCAGCACUCCCUCAGGAGAUUCUCGCCUUGCUUUCUUCUUUGCCUUGUUGGAAAUUUGAUCGGACGCGGGUACGGCAAAUUUCUUAGCAGCUAUAGCUGCGGUACACAGAUGGGCACGUCCGUCCAUGGGAAAGCGAUGGACCCACGUGGCUGAAGAAGCAACCGAAGAUCGAUAACUAUGGCGGAGAAACAGGCGACGGCUAUUGCGGGGAAAUAACUGCAAUGGAAACUUGAACAUUAACGAUAAGAAUGGAGAAGUCGCUCUACUGAGUGAGGGAGCGAAACAGGUUGCGUGCAGCAUCCCUCCUUGCGUAGUGCGUCACUGUUACUUGUACGUGGGACUCACUCAAUGCGCAAUUCGUGGGUUAUAUUAACUCAGAGCGGAUCCUCUGCGAGAAAGAAGAACACAAAGUUGGCGAGAAAGAAAAAAGAAAAAGAAGACGAAAGGCUACAGAAAUGAACAAUACAAAGUUGGAAAAGAAAAUCCAAAUAAGAGGACGAAAAUAAAAAUGAAAACUCCACAAAUGAACUAUACAAAUAACCCAGCUUGAGUACUACACGACGAAACAAAAACUCGUGCAUAGUUUCCGAUAUUCAAUGACCUUUCAUUACUAUUCUUUUGUGGGCUUGAUGUUUCUUGCUAAUUCCAUGUAGAUACUGCGGUCAUCUCCAUAGUUUUCAGUGGGGCAGUUGGUCGAACACAUGAGUAACCGUAUGAGCUGGUAGUCUACCAAUUCAAGGCAAAUUUCUUGAAAAUUCUGGACAUGCAAGCCUCUAAACUAUGAGCAUUAAAAUCUAAGGCUAUAUAACUAUAUAUACAUGAAUAAACAUACAUAUUUCGUAUUUGCUUUAAUUUUACUACUUCUUUCUUUCUUUCUUUUUUUUUUUGGAGGGGGGCUAAGAUCCCUUCAAUCAUGCACUUGGAUACUUCUGACUUCAACUGAUUCUCCAUAGAUUGAUUUUCACUUCAACAUUUUCCGUGGGUGUCAACUGCCGACAUCUUGACGUGGAGAAACUGGAAAUUAGAGGAUGAUAUCGACAUUUGAUACUCUACUAAAGCGCGCAUGGCAGGAGAAGCUGAAAGAUGCCAUUUGACUCACCGGCAUUAUGUCGAACACGUAGUCGGCAAUCAUGCGAAGCAGCUUUGGUCCACGACGGAAGCCACUGCUGCUCCUUUCAAAUGCUCGCCCGAGCAGUCAACAAUUAGAGCGUGGCCCAAAGCCAUCAGCAUCUUCCUGACUAAUCCACUGAUUCGUUCGGAUUGACUGAAGAGGCGGAAGUUUUGGCUCUUCCCCUUCUGACAGCUCCACCUAUGGGAAACACACUUGUCCAAAUAGUGUAGUAAGAGCGAAUGAUAUUUCUUUUCUGCUAGAGUUUUUCUUUUCUUUUUUUAUUUUUUAUUUUUCACUCGAAAAUAGAUAUAAUACUAAAAAUAAGAAUAAAAUAAGAUGUAUCAGAAAGUUGGUAUUUGCAAAUUUGUCAGUAAAUUACAAAACUGACCUCAUAAUUUAAUCUAUAUUAAAUUUAUUUUGUAUUAUGAAAAUGUAUAUACAAACUUCUCAUUUUGGUAAUAUAAUCAAAAUCAGCAUAUUUUUAGAAAAUGCCUAAAAUAUUUUUUUAUUAUAUGUCAUUUCAUAUUUUAAAAAUCGAUUUAAAUUUUAAAAAUUAAGUAUAUUUAUCUAUCAAUAUUAAAUAAUAAAAAAUAUUUGAUAAAAAAAUUAUCAUAUAAUUAACUAAACAUAUUUAAAAUUUAUUUAAUUAUUUUAAUUAAUUAUAUUGUUUUUUAUUGUCAUUUGCUUUUAGCAAUUUUUUCUUUCAAGAACAUCUUCUACUAAAAGUUAGACGAUAUAUUUUUUACAAAAAUUAAUUAAUUAAAAUUUUAAAUAUUAAUAUAUUAAUCUUUGAUGCAAAGUAAAUUAAUAUUUGUUUUAUUAAUAUAACAUAUGUUGAUUUAUAUAUAUUAUGUAUAUUGAAAUUUAUUUGUUUAUUUAUUAUUAAAUAACUUAACUUUGUAAUAUAAUGAGGAAAAGGAUGUGGUAUUUUAAUGUAUUGUUUGAACACAAAAAAAAUUAAGACUACUCAGGUCUUUUUAAUCUUAUUUAAUAUGUUUUAUUAAUUUAGAAAAUAAGUGUAUAACUCCAAAUAUAAAAGUGUCUUUUUUUAUUUUUUUUUUUGGGAGAAAAUGUUAACUUAAAUUAGUUAUGUAUGUUUCGAGUUUUUAUUUUGAUAGUUUUGACAUUUUAUGAGUAGGGAUAAAAAAAUGUUAGUGGUUUAAUUAGUGGUUAGAAUAUUAAACCAUACAAAUAUAUUUACAUACUCAGUUUAAGACUUGCAGGAGCUAAAUUUUAUGGUAGAAACUGAGCGUUCUUUUUAUUCCUGUAGAGAGUUGUGCUAGAGGACAUAGCUGCAAUAAUUUUCUUUUGCUACAUCAAUUAUUUAUAUUCGGUUAAAAAGGAUUACUUUAAAGUUGGAAUUUUAAAGUAAAUCGAUGAUUGAAGAAAUUAAAAGUGUGAAUGUCAAAUGCAAAUUAUAAAAUGUAAAUAUAAUUAUUUAAAAGUAAAUUUAAGAAUUGUAUAAAAUUACCAUCAAUUAAAAUCCAGCAGCGAAGACCACUGGUUAUUUAUUUGAUAGUUAAUACAUUGGUAUUAAUCCAAUUAAAUAAAAAUAUCAUAUGAAAAAUUAUGUAACUAGAGAAAAAUAAAUAAAGGCAUGACUAGGCUAUAAAAUUUGCUAUUAAUUUAUGCAGAAUUAGAGGGAGUACGAGCGGCAUCAUCAGCUGCAUCAUCGGCGGCAGCUUCAGGUUCAGGAUGAGAUGCAGAAGCAGGUUCAGACCUCUGCACCGAUCUUCUUGAGCCAAAACACAAAUGGUGACAACCGGCAAAUAGUCCCAACGCAACUACAGCAAACACCACGAGCGCCGUCACUAUCCAGUGUUCCAUCCUCCCAACGCUCUUCGAUCAACAAGAAUUUCACUGAAACAAGAUGAAAAUUUCGAAAAAUAAAUUUUCUUUCUACUAAUUAAUAUUAAUAAGCUAAUAUAACACACAUAAGAAAAGCAAAUCACAUUGCCAGCUACUACGAUAAUUAGGCUGCAACAGUAUAUAAGUAGCUCAAUAAAAUUUUAAGAAAGAGAUACAACAACGUUCUAAUUAAUAAAUAAUCUACCAAUUAGUGGAAAACUUGUAAGCGGAAUAUUUUUCUUUUUAUUUUUUUUUUUCCAACUGACGAGGUUAAUUCGUUUCUCUCGAAAUACAUUUAUAGCGCAGGUGAUGCAAAAUAAGAAGAUACAGGUUUGGAAAGAAAAAUCAACUAAAUUUCCAAUUUAUUUAGGCAUGGCAAGAUUUGAAUUUCCUCGAGCUUAGGACUUUAUUAGUGUUUUUUUUUUCCAUAUAACUGUAUUAUUCGAUUUCCUAUUCAGGAUGUAGAUCUUAAGAGUAUAGGAAUCAAAAAAUUUUAUUCUCUCUUACAUAAAUGCAAUUAACCACCUGAAAAGGAAAAUUAGAUGAUGAAUUAAUUAUAUUCUGACCGUGGCUAGUUAGCGGUCAGUGGAUUCAAGGGUCGUACAACGGACACAUCCUCAAGGUAGAUUUCUUCAACCUUUUAAUAGAACCAAAGAAGCUCAUGCAGAGUCGUAGGAAGUAGGUUGCGGUAACUGCGGUCCCCAAACAGUAGUUACUCAUGAAAUAUUCUUUUAUUUAACGAAGAUUAUUCCACCUCUUAUACUUAUUUAAGUAACAUUCCCAAAAAAAAAAAAAAAAAAUCUUAUUUUAGUAAAAUAUCUACCAGUCGGAAAAUACAUCCAAGAGAAGAGACUGCACAAACAUUCUCUUGUUUUACAUGGUCUUUAAGCUAUACAUCAACACAUUAACAAGUUCCAAAUCAGAAAAGAAUACAUUGCAGCCUAAGCAUAUAAAGAUGUGACAGCAACCUUCAUAGUGAUACCUCAGACUCUUAGCCACCACAGCAGGAACCGCAAGCUGGUAGGGCAUCUGGAAUUUAACCACAAAACAUAAAUAUUAUACAUGUUCAAUUUUUUGCUGUCUGUAACAGAUUAAACACUUUGGUGGGUCAAAGUUCAAAAGAAACAAAGGGAAAUAGAUGAACUUACUAUGGUCAAUUCCCCGAACAUUGUCUAGACCACGAGGUGGACGACGUGGACCCCCACCACCACCACCAUAUGGACCACUACCAGGACCUCCAGGUCCACCAUCCCAUUUCUUGCUUGAACCAGAGCCUUUCUUGUAAGUAUUUGACUUCUCCAUCUAAAGCAUGGAGGAAGGGAAGAGUUAGGAACAUCAAGUCUCAAUUUGUUGCGAAUAAAUUGCUUGCAUUACCAACAACUAACCAAAAAGAUUACUGUCUUACCGAGAACAUUGUUGCAAAAAAUGCUCCAAUAAAAUUGACAAUGGCCCAGAAGAAAUCCGUGAUUGUCCUUAGACGCCAUAUUGAUCGCUUGGAUUUCACUACACCUGGACAAACCAAGCAAGUUAACAACUGGAAAAAGUAGAAAUAUGGCAGAGAUAUUGUCCGUAGUUUAUUUACACCCGCACAGGUAUUCAUUAAAAAAUCACAAGCAAUUAUGUAGAUUACACUGAAAACGUCUAUCAAUUGGUAAAAAAGACAGGCUAAAGUAGCGGUUCAGCUGGUUAUACCGCUUAACUGUCAAUAGUGAAAGGUACAUAAUGCACAAGAUAUUUCAAUCAAGUAAUAUACAGAAAACAAAAUGAAUAAAAUAUCCGCAAAGAUGUAAUGGAAUGAAGAAUACAUAGAAAACAAUUCUAUCAUUCUUAAACUUAUCUCAGAUAGUUCAAUCAAGUAAUAUCCAGAAAACAAAAUUAAUAAAAUAUCCGCAAAGAUGUAAUGGAAUGAAGAAUACAUAGAAAACAAUUCUAUCAUUCUUGAAACUUACCUUAGAUAGCUGUAAAUCUUAGAAAUAUCCCUCCUAACAUUACUUUAUAACAUCCAAACUCAAUAUAUAAUAAUUCCUACAAUUUUCUAAAUCAUAUUUGGCUUUGCACAAUUAUGAUUAACAAGUGAUAACUUCCAAGUUGCAAAAUUUUCAAAAGAGUGAAGUGGGAAAAAGGAGCCGUCCAAGAGUAUGGUCUUGAUACAUGUCAGGGAAAGAUUCUUGUAGCUGAUUGCAACAAACUAAAAUCAAGGUUUAAUUGCGUUAGGUUCAGUUGCAAAGGAAAAGAGAAAACUAUCUUUUUGGGUUAAGAGAGAGGGGAAAAAGGCUGAAGAAGAGGGUAAAGAAGCUUCUGAAAAAGAGAAAAUGCAUCCAACGCAAGUAGGCACAAACUCAUCAAUUUGUUACAGGGCAUAAAUUAAAGAAAAACUACACCUUAAAUUGAAGCGUUAUUAAAUUUUUAUAGCUCAAUAUUGCGUUUUUUAACUUUCCAAUAACUUGCAGUCAUAUGUCUUGAUACAUUUGCAAGGAUAAAGGAAAAAAAAUUAACAAAAUGAAUGAAUCAAUUUUUCUUAACAAAUAAAUUCCCCAAACCUAGCAAACAUUAAAUAUUGAUCCAAAACAACGCGGAGCACAUUACCAGAUGACUAAAGGAGCAAUCACAUUACAAACGCCCAAACUUAGCAGCUGUCACUGCUGAAGAACAUCAUUUUGCGUUCGAUUAGAAUGAUCUCAAAUUGCUGCAAUUUCUAGUAAGCAUUGCCAUCCUCACAUAUUCAUUCAAGCGGCAAUUAACGAAGGUCUACCCCCAAAUAAAAAGAACUUCAUGAUCAUAUUAAGAAAACAACGGAAGAGAAUCGCAAACCAAAAGUUAGCGGGAUAGACAUGAUCAGUCACAAACAAAGAAGCGAAAUACGAACUGCUUAAUCUCCUUUUAAUUGCUAGAAAAGGAACCCUAAAAAUCGAAAUACAAAUCAAUCCAACAUAGAAAAAGACCGAAUCCGGUCAUUAUUAAAUAGAAAUGGAAGAUGAUAACCUAACUUUUUAAUCAAGAAUUUUCCCCACAUCAUCGAGAAAAGUGUUAAUUGGAGAGAGAGAGAGAGAGAGAGAGAGAGAGCUGACCUCGCUCAACGUAGGCCAUGAGAGUAAUUCUGGAGACUUCCGAAAAAUGGCAGAAUUCUGGUCUUUAUAUUGGGCACCGAGGCUUGUGAACGAUUCAUUGAUUUAACCGUGAUCUUUAACGGCAAGUUACUUCUUUUGAUUUUCAUUGGCAGGGACACGUCAAGCUUGACGUGGAAAGACACGUGUCGCAUUUUUAUUGGCUAUUAGUACGGCAUUUAUAUUACUUUUAAUGACAUGUCAGACCGUUAGGUGUCAUACCUGGCACAGACCACUCUUGGUCUCGUAAAAGUUCUUUUCUUGCAACAACCUAAAAUGAUUAAUCAUAUCCAAUGUAAGAGAACAACCGAGUUUAGUGCAAUGGUUAUAUUUGCUAUUCUUUUACAUUUGAGUUAAUUUCAAUUUUAGAAGAAAGAAAGAUCAUGUCUAGUCCCAUACAAAUUUUCAAAAUAAUCCACCUUAAGGUGGAACUCUGUAAAAAUACUGAAAGCAGUUCAUGAAUUAUGGCAAUCUUUAAUAAGGGCAUUUUUGUUCCUUUCCAUUUGCAUCAUGAACAUGUUCAUUUUCACCUUCAAAUUGAAAGACUUUGGUUGGGUUUCAUGCUGUAUCUUAGCCGCCCAUGUUUUCAUGUCCUCAAAUGCUUCCCAUGUCUUGCUUUCCUUUUUCCAGUCCCAUACACACUUGAAAGUUGAGAAGUUGCAGAAAUUGUUCAGUUUAUUGGACCCUUCAAAUUUCUAGAGAAAAAAAAAAGAAACAGAAUCCAACAAUCAGAUAAGACGGAUAAAACACAUUUCAAUAUAGACAAUCAAAUGAAUAGACAACAGAGCAAAAUAUAUCAAAUGAAAAAUACAGGAGAACACAUUCAGAACAUGAGUCAGCUGUAGAAACGUACUUUGAAUUUUUACUUUUUUAGAAUUCACAUAUGUUUGUAUUUCAGAAUUAACAGUUGUGGAAAAUGAAGAUUGAAAAAAAUGGAGGUCUCCAGGUGAUUUACUCUUAGUAUAUAGAAGUUUGUGAACUAAUUUACUCUUUAUGUCCUUGAGGAUGAUGGGCAAUCGGGGACAUGGUAAUCAAAAGAGGCUGAUAGCACAUGAAAAUUUCACUAACCUCCAUGGUUAAAGGAAACAGGUAGAGCAAUCCAUCCGCACGCUCCCGCCUAUCAUGACGUAGAUGAAGACAUUGUUUCACAACAGAAAGUGCUGUCUCUAUAUCAAGAUAUCCAACUUUCACCAUCCUUUUCAGAACUCUAGCUUGGAAUGUCUUCCCUCUGCAACAAAGUAAGAACUUAUCUUCUAGUUUUAUCUGUUUUUCCAUAAGCACCUAUUUAUCCUAUAAAAUACUGGAUAGAGUAUCUGACCAACAAAAGAAGUACUGGACGAGUACAAUGAGUGAAUUGCAAAAGGCUUUAAAUUCUAACACAGCCUAUGAACUAAGCAAUAUUAGUGAAUAGACACAAUAGCAAGCAAGAACAAGUAAAAGGAGUAAUUCAACAACAGAAAACGUACCUGCUAGGGUCCCUAAAUGGUGAUCGAAGUUCCGGUGCAGGUAUGAUCCCAGCAAGCAUUGCUGACUCUCCCAAACUCAGAAGAGAAGGAUGCUUUCCGAAAUAGAAAAGCGAUGCUGACUCGAUUCCAUAAAUACCAUGUCCCCAGUAUAUCUGUGACAUCAAUCAUGUAUGCUUAUUGUCACUAGACACAUGAUUCAGGAAAAACAAAAAUAAACUAGUUCCCAAUAUUGGCAUGUUACUUUUAUCUAGCCAUUGUCCACAUUAUGAUUAACUUUAUUUCAAACGCUUUUUAUCUUCUCUUCCAACUUAUUGGCGAGCACCCAGUCAAUGAUGGUAUCCCAAAAGAACAACCAGACAACAUAUUCCACAAGGAGACAUGUGGCUAAUGUAGCUCGGUUUAACAUAUAACAUGAGCCCAAAAGUCAAAAUGAGUCCAAUAGUCAUCAAGCGGAAAGAAAGCCAGAAGCUAAGUAGGCUAUACCCAUAAUAUCCUGGUUACACUUCAUCUUAUGUUCUUAUCUAUGUUCGUUCAAUAGCCAUUUAUCUCAAACAAUUUUCUGCUCGAACAUUGUUUCAUGUUGCACGAAAUAAUAAGUUAAAAUAGGAUAAUAUAUCAAAAAGAGCAACAAUGAAGAAGUCUUAUAACUUUUAGCAAGUGUGAACUUCUUAUAACUCAGGGUGAACAGUGAAGAAGAAAAACCAGCACAAAAAUUGGAAAUCUAAAUGCAGCUAGAAAUAUUGUAGUUGGAUUUUUCCUACAACCACAAAUUAUAUUUUUCUAAAAAUGAAUUUGAAGAAUGCAUUUUGUCAAACAGAAAACAAAUUAAAAAAAAAAACCAUUCACAUAAGUAGUGGAAACAAAUAUAUGUAGUGCCCCUUAAACUAAGGGAUAUGGCUUCCUUUUAAUUAAAAAAUAAAUAAAUAAACAAAUAAGGGAUGAUGAAAGAAGCAUAAGGCAAGAAAAGAGACCUUACUCAGGUAUGUGCUUAAUAUUCCUUGUUUUGACACUUUCCUUUCAAGUGCUACUGCCAACACCAUCUCAACAAUCUUUCUUGAGAAGGUGGGCUCAUUUCUAAGAAAAGAGUUCUUGACUAGCUGCCAGGGUGAGAAAGAAAACAAAAUUAAACAGUUGUAAUAAAAAAUCAAAAGCUUUCAAAAUCAAUAUAAAACAAAAAAAAACUACAGUAAGACUUAAUUUAGUCUUCCUUCCAGAACUUUGGAAGCUUGUAAUGAUUUCAGUUCCAAAACAGCUACUACAAAGUUUGGCUCAACAAAAAAAUAAGAAUUUCUAGGAAAUAAAAAGCAACAGAAUGUUCUUAUACUCAUUAAGAAAGUAUGCAAAUAAUAUGUGUGCACAAAAAUAAUCUUCAGGAUAUAAUCACUCUGGUAUAGAAUAACUUAUUCCAAUAAGGUAUCUGAAAAAGAGCCGGAUAACCUUCUUCACUGUAUGGAUUAGAUUUUUGCCCAAACAUAUCAAAAGAGUCAUCAACCUUCAUAACCUCAUUGCAGUUCCAAUAUAACAAAAGUCCUAGAAGCCUAAGCGAAGAGAGAGAAAAAAAAAAUCCCAAUAAGUCCUUUCCUUACUAAUUUUUUUGUUUUCAUGCUAUGCAUUCCUCUUCCAGAAUGGAGACCACUAUCGGGGCUGAGGAACUUUGUCUCAAAUGUCGUCAGUUGUAUACCCAUCAAAAACCAACUAUCAACAGAUAUUACAUGCUAAAUUUUAGAUAAUAGCUCUGAACUUACUUUUGGAAAAGUCAGCAUUAUCUAACAAGUCGUGAACAUCAACUAACUCGAGAAAGAACAAGACAAUGAAGUAAUAGCAAUGGAUAUACAGAAAGAACAAGACAAUGAAGAUACAGAAAGAGGAAUAAAUCUCGAUUUGGAGCCCUGGAUAUACAAUGACCAACCAUCAUAGCAAACACCUAUAAAUCCAUAUUGACUAAAAUUUUCAGCAUCUUUUCACACCAGAGACAAAGUGUUCGAUUACAAAACUGUGUGAAAAAGUUAAUCCAGCAUUGAUAUUGCUGAGACAAACUACAAAUCCAAUUUACAUACAAGUACACCUAGUUAUUGACUCAAAUGAACAGUUAAUAGUAAUAUGUAAGGUAGAUAAAUGACUGCUACAAUACUCCAUUGGACUUUGAAAGAUGAUAAUUACAUAUUUAACUUUAGUUCAAAGAGAAUAAACAAACAAGAAUUCUAUAUCACAUACAAUUUAUGGUUGUAUAUCCAUUCCAAAAACCACAAGAGCUACAAAAAUCUCAGCCAUUAAUCAAUACUAUCUAGGGCCAGAGAUCUGCUGUGAGGAGAUGUAAGAAAAGUAAUGUUGAGAGCCACUUGCUGAACUUGUACAGGAGGCAUUUGCUUGCUGAUACAACAUAACAUCACUUUCCCGUUCUUCUUCUUCUAUUGUAGAAGCCUCAGAAAACCUGCGGCCAUAGAAGCGUAAGAAAUUCAAAGACUCCAUUCUUGGCCGGGUUACUGGAAUCCUACCUUCCAACAUACCAACAACAGUAACCAUAUUUGGCCUUAAUGAUGGUUCUUCAUGAACACAACACAAAGCAAUACACACCAAUUUCUCCACCUCUUCACUCAUUACUCGUCCUUCCAACUUUGUGUCAGCAAGCUCCAGGUAUCUUCCUUGCUCGUGCAUCUCCAAUGCAUAUAGUGGAAAAUAAAUAAAUCUGGAUCCUGAUGAUGAAGAUUGGGAGCCACUACUGUUCUCAUCAUCCAUGCAAUGGCUUGGUGAUCGCAGUAGGCAGUUUUUCCUACCACUCACGAGUUCAAGCAAUACCAUCCCGAAACUAUAAACAUCAGUUUUCUCUGAAAUUGCUGAGUUAGUAAGCCAUUCAGGGGCAAGAUAGCCCCGAGUACCUCUCAUUGUCGUGAACAGGCUAGAUUGUUCAGGGCUUAGGAGUUUUGAAAGCCCGAAAUCAGAGAUUUUUGGCUGAAAAUGAUCAUGCAAGAGAAUGUUCUCUGGUUUGACGUCACAAUGGAUAAUCUUUUGUUCACAGCCACAGUGCAAGUAUGCAAGUGCACGUGCUGUCCCAAGUGCUAUAUCGAACCUUUCUUGCCAUUCUAUGACAGGUCCACUGCCAAAGAGAGUACGGUCCAGUGAACCACGGUUCAUAUACUCAUAAACCAAUAGUCUCCGUCCCCCUUGGGCACAAAACCCUCUCAACUUGACCAAAUUGACAUGGUGUAUAUUUCCAAUGACCGCAAUCUCAGUACAGAAAUCUUUUUUCCCUUGGACACCUAAAUUUGUUAUCUUCUUCACUGCCACAACAGAUUUAUCAGGCAGUAUACCUUUGUAGACAGAACCAAACCCA